RNAcentral lists this ribosomal RNA (672 nucleotides) under uncultured Alphaproteobacteria bacterium. RNAcentral's name for it is "bacterial SSU rRNA". It matches the Rfam family "Bacterial small subunit ribosomal RNA", at positions 40 to 756 of the family's 1533-position model. The record is from RNAcentral. Lineage: Bacteria; Pseudomonadati; Pseudomonadota; Alphaproteobacteria.
CGUCAGGCUUAACACAUGCAAGUCGAGCGGGCACCUUCGGGUGUCAGCGGCAGACGGGUGAGUAACACGUGGGAACGUACCCUUCGGUUCGGAAUAACGCUGGGAAACUAGCGCUAAUACCGGAUACGCCCUUUUGGGGAAAGGUUUACUGCCGAAGGAUCGGCCCGCGUCUGAUUAGCUAGUUGGUGGGGUAACGGCCUACCAAGGCGACGAUCAGUAGCUGGUCUGAGAGGAUGAUCAGCCACACUGGGACUGAGACACGGCCCAGACUCCUACGGGAGGCAGCAGUGGGGAAUAUUGGACAAUGGGCGCAAGCCUGAUCCAGCCAUGCCGCGUGAGUGAUGAAGGCCUUAGGGUUGUAAAGCUCUUUUGUCCGGGACGAUAAUGACGGUACCGGAAGAAUAAGCCCCGGCUAACUUCGUGCCAGCAGCCGCGGUAAUACGAAGGGGGCUAGCGUUGCUCGGAAUCACUGGGCGUAAAGGGCGCGUAGGCGGCCAUUCAAGUCGGGGGUGAAAGCCUGUGGCUCAACCACAGAAUUGCCUUCGAUACUGUUUGGCUUGAGUAUGGUAGAGGUUGGUGGAACUGCGAGUGUAGAGGUGAAAUUCGUAGAUAUUCGCAAGAACACCGGUGGCGAAGGCGGCCAACUGGACCAUUACUGACGCUGAGGCGCGA